Molecule: non-coding RNA, 5909 nt
Organism: Sus scrofa (pig)
Lineage: Eukaryota; Metazoa; Chordata; Mammalia; Artiodactyla; Suidae
Source: RefSeq, a predicted model, not a curated record
UACACUUUAAAAGAGUGAAGAAAGGGCAGGUGACCUCCAGAGUCAUUCAAUCAUUCACUCAGCCACCAUGGGUUGGGCAGGAAAGAUGCCACAGGAAAGAGUUGGAGAAAUUCAUGAAUGCCUUCUCGUCCUUGAGUUUGAAGCACUGGAUUAAGCGUUAGGAAUUACAGAUCCAAGAUCUGUCUACCAACAACUCUAAGCAAAGAAUGAAUGCGAAGAAUGGUCUUCAAAUAGUACAAAGCAAAUGAGAACGCAGAGGCUGGAGGCUUAUUUCUGGCUGAGGUAGCCAGGGAAAGCUUUGUGUCCAGUGAUGGGGCCUUGAUGGAUGAGCUGGACUCUGUAAAAGCCCAGUUUUCAGAAGUUAAGCUAAUGCGUUGUUAUUCCCCUGAUUCUAAUUUUGAACUCACAAGGUUUUCCUGGGGAUAUUUUAGGAUUCUAGUCACUUUCAUAAAAUGUAAAAAUAGGUAAAGCUAUGGCUGUAAUGUAAGGCAAAUUCAUACUAGUAUGUCUUAGGCCCAUGUGAAUGUCAGGUAUAAAUUAUCCCUCGUCUUUCCAGCUAUUCCCCAAAGUAAAUAUUAUAAUAAAAUUUUACAGAUAGGGGAAACUGAGGCCCAGAAAUGUUCCAUCAUCAGCCAUCACCAGAAAGUGGGAAACUAAUGGCAGUUAUUUUCAAGCCAAGUACCAAACACAUGAAGGGUGCGUAAAGUCCUAAGAUGUGCAGAUAAUCCAGCCCUACUGGUUCCUUAGCUGGGUACAAUGUACCAAAUCUUCCACAAGAAUAUUUUGAGAUGGUGAGCUGCCAGCAGUGUACUGGACCCCUUUUAAGCUUUUGUGUGCGAUGCAAACCCUUCCAAAAUACAGGUACUUUUCCAAAAGACAAUGUCCCUUUCAUUCUGGCUAAGUGUGGUUUCCCCUCCCUCUCUGUUCAAUGGUGGGGGGGGGAGGGGCACCCGUCUCAAGGCCAGGAUUUAGUUGAAGUUAAAAUAAGGAGGGGAAAGGGCCUAUGUCAAUGUGGAGGCUGAUCCUACUUGGCCCAGGGAAAAGUAAGCCAUUCUUUUUUUUUUUUUUUUUUUAAUUUUACACUGCCAACUCAGGGGCACCUAAAGCCUCAGUGUAUUAGCUGUUCAGACUUUUGAUUCCGAAAGCUUACUUCUUCUUAAAGGCUGCCCCCUGGACUGGCUGUGCUGCUUUAAAUUCGGGUCUCUAAGAAAUUGGUGUGAGCAACUUUCUUUGAGCCUUCAAAGUAAAGCCAAAUGCUCUGUCCUCAGCAGGAAAGUGACUUUAAUUAAUUCUGGACGACCUUUCCAUUGAAAAGCAAAACACUGCCCUGAGGCUUUUUAGAAAGGUUAGGUUGUACCUUUUCCCUCUUAUGGUGAGGAGGUAGGUAUGAGUGUUUCUCAUACAAGCCUCUGCCUCCUGCGUUCCUGUAGAAUGCACGCUCUUUAAUCCAGGAAAAACAAAAUAAAACAAACCAAUGGGCAAAGAGGCCCUGUUUGUAGCCAAUUAACUUCUCAAUUCUAGCAAGAACUAAAGCACAGCAUAAAAUCUUCCAUCACAAUAAAAUAUGACUAAAGACCUCAUCAAUUCUCAUUUAGCAAAUGCUUUGUACUGGACCAUCUUUUUCUCAUACUUAGGAAUUCCAUUAUUUCUUAUUUCAGUGAACAUGUUCGGGGAAAAAAAAAAUUAAGUGGAAUGGGAUUAGGUUUGCCAUUUGUCAUUUACUCAGAACAGAAUUCCGGUCUGACAUGCAGGCAACUCAUACCCAGAGCUUAAUGCUUUUAGUAAUUAUAAGGAUCAUGUAGAGUAUGUUGAUUGGUGGGGGGAAAAAAUCUUUAUUAACUGCUCAGAAAUAGUUAAUUCUUCAUUAGUCAGAGCACUGCACUAGAGGCUGCUGCCUGUGAACCAUGGAUUAGAGUUUAUGAUAGUAAUAACCUCCCUGAAAAAACAUUUGUUACUAUACUUAAUGACCAGAUUUUAGUGCAUUAACCUUCCUCAGGAGGUCAACUAACAAAAUGGAUGUUAACUGCUUGUAACAACCAAUUCCUCUGAAAUUAAUAUUUAGAUGCCUUUGGUGUCAAAAAAAAACCUUCCUUCCCUAUCAGGGCAUUAAAAACACUUCUAAAUUAUUAAUAGCAGGCAGGAUUCAAUGCCUCAAAGAUUUCCAUGCCAACGCUCUUUAUCCUCAGCCUCUUCCUAUUUUCUCGAACAGAGUUCUCUUCGGCAGGAACAAGGAAGGCAUUCAGGGAAAUUAGGUCUCAGAAAUGCAUGUGGGUCAACAAUGUACUGCAGUUUGGAAAAGGUCAUCCUUUAAGUUCAACAGAAAUAAACAUUACAGGAGUGUGAAAGGCGAUGCUGAGAGCACACUGGGAACCCAACGGGGACAGACACCCCGCCAGGCCUGGGCUCCAGAGCUACAGCCCUCUCACCACCUGUCAGGAACUCCUUAACGACACGUUUUUUUUUUUUUUUUUGCAUCCCUUCUGCGACUGACCUCCUGGCUCAUCUCUCCAGCCCCUCCCUCUGCCUUCAAAUUGGAAACAAACCACACUUAUGUCAAAACAACUUCUCAACUAUUUCCUUCCCGAGCAAUCCCAGAAUAUAAAACAUGUUCUGAAAAGCUGCACCAUUCCCUGGAGAAAUUUUAUGAUUUGGUUACUGCAGAGUGUGCUGCUCCUUGGCUGGGGUAGCCUGAAGUCCUUGCCAAACAAUGAAGCAAUGCUAUUAUUAGCCUUCCUAUUCAAUGGCCACAAAACAGCCCCUGUUUCUAUUUUCAGACUGUGCUCUUCUGGCUCAAGAAGGCCAACACUGCACCCGUAGGGCAAAGGAGCCAUCCAUUGCCAAAACCUGCAGAGCAGUGGGAAGGGGAAAGGUUUUCCUGGUGGCAUUUUUCGGCAGAGAGAAUAUGUUAUCUUGCCUGCUUCUUGGGAACCGUGGAUCCUUCAUCAGUGACCUGGAAUGGUUGCUAAGUGUGAAGCAGAGAGCAGUUCUGACAGCCUUCUUUAAGCACAGGAUAUCCAUUGCUCUCAUGCGAAAAAGAAGCCUCCCAGAAAAGACUGCAUUGGGCAUUGACAGCUCUUUCACACGUUGUACUGUUAUUUCUGAAACCCGAUCACGAGUUGUACUAUCUAGGUAAUACAUGCCUUUUGGACAUUUCUUAGUAAAGAUGCCCAAAUGAGAGACCCUACUGAUGAAAGCACUUCCUUCAGGGACCUUCAAUAGCUCGAUAUAUAUUUAGGGAAAUACAAAAGGAGAGGAGCGUGUAUUUUUGGGAUUGGGAAAAUACACAUUUUCCAUUGGACUAAACUGUCAACUCAUCAAUAUUUUAGAAUGGGUCAUGACCUGCAUAAAAGAAAAAACAAACAAACCUGUUUUGACUUUCUUGGCAGCCCCAAUCCUAAUUUGGUGGAAGUGGCUUUGUGCCUGGAUUUGAAAGCCACAGUCCCAGCCUUCUAUGCACUCAGCAAUGGCCGUAGAGCACACAUCUGGCCAAUGGUAUCUAAGAGGAAGUUACUUAAAGCUACUUAAAAUAGGACAGAAGCAGCUGAAGGGCACACGUUUUGUUCUCAUGCGUUUUCCUCUAGUAGCUGGAAUCAACUAGUAAUUUUGCAGUAGGAAAAAAUGAAAAGAUUCAUAGAUCCGGCAAUAAUGGUUUUAACAUGAGCCAUCCUUCCCUCAUCCUCCACAUUAACCCUCCAAUUUGCAGUUCCCUGAUUUGCGCAGCCAAAUGGAAUACCUAACGGAAAUAGAAUAUGGUAUCAGAACUGGCAGGGGGUGUAGCAAGGAAAGGAUGCUUCAAGUAAUAGAACCAAAAAUGUUUAAUUUGCUUAAUGGAAGGGGUGGGAAAGUGAGGGCAGUAUUGCAGGAGGUAAAGCUGGUUCAUCCAUAUGCAACAGGGCAAAACAGUUUUUCAGACUCUAGAAACAUUGUCUACUGACUCCUAAGUAAUAGAGAAUGUUGGCAUGCGUUGGACCCUUCUUAUUGCUUUUAGCAAAGCCUUAAGGGAGCAAUGAACUGAUUCAGAGACACACAGUCUACAAACAUGUGGAAGAAAAUACAGCACUGAUAAGAGGAGUGCUUCUUCCAAGACCAUCAAUCUAAGUUGACUGAGAAUCUCAAAAAUUGGAGCCAUUCGAUAGUUAAGAUAUAUGUUUGCUACUGGAAAAGAAACUCAAAAUACAAUGUGAAAGAAAAACAGAAGCUCAGUUCUCUCUCCUGUAACAGUCUUGAGUAUAAGCAGAAAAGCUGUAAAGUGUGUGGCUCCAUGCUGCCUUUCUAUCUUACUGCUCCCGAAUCUCCUUGUUGCAGUAAUCCAAGAUUACUCUCCACUAUUCAGGCAUUUCAGGAGGCAGGAAGGGGAAAAGAGGGAAAGAGAGGGCAUUCUCUUCCUUCUAAAGACAUACUCUGGAAGUUGCACCUGUUAUUUCUGCAUAUAACUUAUCGGAAAGAAUUUAGUUAUAUGUCCACCCCCAAGCACAAGGACUUUAAUCUGGUCUACCAUGUGCUCAGCUAAAAGCCACGGGUUCCAUGUUGCUGGAAAGGGGAAAGAACCGAUACUGCCUUUCUUGGGGUUGAACAGCUAACUUCUCCUCUCCCUCAAGCAGAAAGCAUUGUAAACUAAAGAGUGUACAUCUGUCUUCCUCUUCUUGUCUCCUUCUGAAAAUCCAGCUUUGAAAAGCAGCCUACACCAAUCUCACAUUUUUCAUAUUCCACAUUAGAAAAGUGAUGUAGCUUUAAUAAGAUAGCAAUACUUUAUAUUUUGUUCUUCCAUCAGGCCAAAGGGUUAUGGUGUUAGAAUGUUCUUUGGCAAUUCCAAAUAGGAAAAACAAAAUCUCAAAAAACUUUUGAAGAUAUCUAGCGUAGUGGAAAUGUCUCAAGAUUUAGUUCUAAUUAGCCUCUGAAACUGUGUUCCUGCCAACUCUGUUGCAUUGACUAAGUUCAGAUCAGGCAUCCUGGGACAUUUCAUUCCGUUUUGAACGAGGCGCAUUGCUAAUUCUCUAAUCAAUGAACGGACACUCCAUUUGUCAAACAGCAUAAUUGCCAUUAAAUGAAUAUAAUUCAUAGCUAAUUGUUAAAAAGGAGUAAUUUGCUGUGACUUGAACAGAUUUUAAUUGUAUUCCUUGACUUAUGGGAACAUCUUAUUAAAUAGUGGAAAAAUCUUUUUAAAAAUCUGUAUUUUGGAGCAAAGGUGGUGAUAUCUUUUUAAGAUCACACAUGGGAUGAAUUAAUCGAUUCAAACAUUAUGUGAACAAAUAUGCUGCUACAAGAAUGUUCAUUGAAGCAUUAUUUAAAAUACCAAAAAAUUUCAAGCAACAUGCAUAUCCAUCUACAGAGGCAUAGUUACAGAAAAUACAGUUUAUCUAUGCUAAAAAUCAAAAAAACUUAUUCAACGCUUAAAACAAGGAGAUAGAUCCAAGUGGAAAGAUAUCCAACACACAACAUUAAGAUUUAAAAAACUAUAAAGCGAUAUGUAUGGUUCAAGUACAUUAGCUGACAGAGCAAAUCAGAAAGCAGUUACAUACAUACAUAUAACUGUAUAUGCACGGAGGUUUUUGGAAGCAUAUGCAUGUAUUAAUAUUACAACUAAAUAGUGGACUAGUUGUCCUGGUAUGAGAAAUGGCAGAUUCUUAGUUUUUACUUUAUAAACCUUCUGUAUUUGUUGAACUUUUAACUUUAAAUUUGCAUUCGUUUUGCAUUUUAAAAAGUUAUUAAAACCUAUAAAAAUAAUUCUGUUCCAUCGCUUACUAUCCUUAAACAGUCCAUGGAAUAUAUAGCAUAAAGUAUUACUGAAUGAGCGUCUGAAUUCUGCUUCCUUUUGCUUUAUAUUGAUUAAGAGCGUGCUUCAUGACAAUUUCCUUGAUUAUUUUUCUUUUUUUGGUCUUUUCAGGGCCACACCCGCGGCAUAUGGAGGU